Molecule: ribosomal RNA, 256 nt
Filed under: uncultured bacterium
Lineage: Bacteria
Description: partial 16S ribosomal RNA
Rfam family: Bacterial small subunit ribosomal RNA
Source: RNAcentral
CCACGCAGUAAACGAUGAGUGCUAGAUGUCGGGAGUCAAAUCUCGGUGUCGCAGCUAACGCAAUAAGCACUCCGCCUGGGGAGUACGUACGCAAGUAUGAAACUCAAAGGAAUUGACGGGGACCCGCACAAGCAGCGGAGCAUGUGGUUUAAUUCGAAGCAACGCGAAGAACCUUACCAAGGCUUGACAUAUACAUGACCGUCUUAGAGAUAAGAUUUUCUCUUCGGAGACAUGUAUACAGGUGGUGCAUGGUUGU